RNAcentral lists this ribosomal RNA (947 nucleotides) under Salmonella enterica subsp. enterica. Its description in RNAcentral is "partial 23S ribosomal RNA". It matches the Rfam family "Bacterial large subunit ribosomal RNA", at positions 1213 to 2141 of the family's 2925-position model. The record is from RNAcentral. RNAcentral also lists the same sequence under 1 other name. Lineage: Bacteria; Pseudomonadati; Pseudomonadota; Gammaproteobacteria; Enterobacterales; Enterobacteriaceae.
GCUUAUGCGUUGUUGGGUAGGGGAGCGUUCUGUAAGCCUGUGAAGGUGUGUCGUGAGGCAUGCUGGAGGUAUCAGAAGUGCGAAUGCUGACAUAAGUAACGAUAAAGCGGGUGAAAAGCCCGCUCGCCGGAAGACCAAGGGUUCCUGUCCAACGUUAAUCGGGGCAGGGUGAGUCGACCCCUAAGGCGAGGCCGAAAGGCGUAGUCGAUGGGAAACGGGUUAAUAUUCCCGUACUUGGUGUUACUGCGAAGGGGGGACGGAGAAGGCUAUGUUGGCCGGGCGACGGUUGUCCCGGUUUAAGCGUGUAGGUGUGUGUUCCAGGUAAAUCCGGUUCACUUUAACACUGAGGCGUGACGACGAGGCACUACGGUGCUGAAGCAACAAAUGCCCUGCUUCCAGGAAAAGCCUCUAAGCAUCAGGUAACAUCAAAUCGUACCCCAAACCGACACAGGUGGUCAGGUAGAGAAUACCAAGGCGCUUGAGAGAACUCGGGUGAAGGAACUAGGCAAAAUGGUGCCGUAACUUCGGGAGAAGGCACGCUGACACGUAGGUGAAGUGAUUUACUCAUGGAGCUGAAGUCAGUCGAAGAUACCAGCUGGCUGCAACUGUUUAUUAAAAACACAGCACUGUGCAAACACGAAAGUGGACGUAUACGGUGUGACGCCUGCCCGGUGCCGGAAGGUUAAUUGAUGGGGUCAGCGCAAGCGAAGCUCCUGAUCGAAGCCCCGGUAAACGGCGGCCGUAACUAUAACGGUCCUAAGGUAGCGAAAUUCCUUGUCGGGUAAGUUCCGACCUGCACGAAUGGCGUAAUGAUGGCCAGGCUGUCUCCACCCGAGACUCAGUGAAAUUGAACUCGCUGUGAAGAUGCAGUGUACCCGCGGCAAGACGGAAAGACCCCGUGAACCUUUACUAUAGCUUGACACUGAACAUUGAGCCUUGAUGUGUAG